Molecule: non-coding RNA, 56 nt
Filed under: 'Nostoc azollae' 0708
Lineage: Bacteria; Bacillati; Cyanobacteriota; Cyanophyceae; Nostocales; Nostocaceae
Description: Cyanobacteria heterocyst sRNA
Rfam family: Cyanobacteria heterocyst sRNA
Source: Rfam by way of RNAcentral
GGGAUGUUGUUAUGCACUGGAUUUAUAGCGAGGUUUGGUUAACCACCAAACCUUUU